This 253-nucleotide ribosomal RNA is filed under the name uncultured bacterium. RNAcentral's name for it is "partial 16S ribosomal RNA". It matches the Rfam family "Bacterial small subunit ribosomal RNA", at positions 524 to 776 of the family's 1533-position model. The record is from RNAcentral.
GACGUAGGGAGCGAGCGUUGUCCGGAUUUAUUGGGCUUAAAGGGUGCGUAGGCGGUCCUGUAAGUCAGUGCUGAAAUAUCCCGGCUUAACCGGGAGGGUGGCAUUGAUACUGGGGGGCUAGAGUACAGAUGAGGUAGGCGGAAUUGACGGUGUAGCGGUGAAAUGCUUAGAUAUCGUCAAGAACACCUAUAGCGAAGGCAGCUUGCUAGGCUGUAACUGACGCUGAGGCACGAAAGUGUGGGGAGCAAACAGG